AUCCAGACGACGAGUCCCAAAUACGACGAAACGCGCGUCCUGGAU
RNAcentral lists this non-coding RNA (45 nucleotides) under Schistosoma margrebowiei. Lineage: Eukaryota; Metazoa; Platyhelminthes; Trematoda; Strigeidida; Schistosomatidae. The record is from RNAcentral.